GCCUGCUCAAUGAAAAUUAAAUAGCCGCAGUUCCCUGUGCUAAGGUAGCAUAAUCAUUUGCCUCUUAAUUAGAGACUAGUAUGAAAGGUUAAACAUUUAAUUCCUGUCUCAAAUCACCCAGCCACUAAACUAUUCUAAAUAUUAAAAAAUAUUUAUAUUAAAAAAAGACGACAAGACCCUAUCAAACUUCUACUAAAGUUCAGCUGGGGCAGCUCUGUAAAAAUUCUUUACUGCUACUAUUAUUCUUACUAACCCUAUUAGACCUGCUAACAGCAAUAACCAGAUCAAGUUACUGUAGGGAUAACAGCGCAAUAUUUUUCCAAAGUUCAUAUUUAAAAAAAAGCUUGCGACCUCGAUGUUGAAUUAAUUUAACCUAUCAGGUGCAACCAUCUGACAAGGAGGUCUGUUCGACCUUAAAAAAAUUACG
Molecule: ribosomal RNA, 427 nt
Rfam family: Bacterial large subunit ribosomal RNA